RNAcentral lists this ribosomal RNA (897 nucleotides) under Saccharomyces cf. cerevisiae/paradoxus. Its description in RNAcentral is "LSU rRNA". It matches the Rfam family "Eukaryotic large subunit ribosomal RNA", at positions 41 to 955 of the family's 3401-position model. The record is from RNAcentral. Lineage: Eukaryota; Fungi; Ascomycota; Saccharomycetes; Saccharomycetales; Saccharomycetaceae.
GAUCAAUAAGCGGAGGAAAAGAAACCAACCGGGAUUGCUUAGUAACGGCGAGUGAAGCGGCAAAAGCUCAAAUUGAAAUCUGGUACUUUCGGUGCCCGAGUUGUAAUUUGGAGAGGGCAACUUUGGGGCCGUUCCUGUCUAUGUUCCUUGGAACAGGACGUCAUAGAGGGUGAGAAUCCCGUGUGGCGAGGAGUGCGGUUCUUUGUAAAGUGCCUUCGAAGAGUCGAGUUGUUUGGGAAUGCAGCUCUAAGUGGGUGGUAAAUUCCAUCUAAAGCUAAAUAUUGGCGAGAGACCGAUAGCGAACAAGUACAGUGAUGGAAAGAUGAAAAGAACUUUGAAAAGAGAGUGAAAAAGUACGUGAAAUUGUUGAAAGGGAAGGGCAUUUGAUCAGACAUGGUGUUUUGUGCCCUCUGCUCCUUGUGGGUAGGGGAAUCUCGCAUUUCACUGGGCCAGCAUCAGUUUUGGUGGCAGGAUAAAUCCAUAGGAAUGUAGCUUGCCUCGGUAAGUAUUAUAGCCUGUGGGAAUACUGCCAGCUGGGACUGAGGACUGCGACGUAAGUCAAGGAUGCUGGCAUAAUGGUUAUAUGCCGCCCGUCUUGAAACACGGACCAAGGAGUCUAACGUCUAUGCGAGUGUUUGGGGUGUAAAACCCAUACGCGUAAUGAAAGUGAACGUAGGUUGGGGCCUCGCAAGAGGUGCACAAUCGACCGAUCCUGAUGUCUUCGGAUGGAUUUGAGUAAGAGCAUAGCUGUUGGGACCCGAAAGAUGGUGAACUAUGCCUGAAUAGGGUGAAGCCAGAGGAAACUCUGGUGGAGGCUCGUAGCGGUUCUGACGUGCAAAUCGAUCGUCGAAUUUGGGUAUAGGGGCGAAAGACUAAUCGAACCAUCUAGUAGCUGGU